GAUGAACGCUGGCGGCGUGCCUAAUACAUGCAAGUCGAGCGAACGGACGAGAAGCUUGCUUCUCUGAUGUUAGCGGCGGACGGGUGAGUAGCACGUGGAUAACCUACCUAUAAGACUGGGAUAACUUCGGGAAACCGGAGCUAAUACCGGAUAAUAUUUUGAACCGCAUGGUUCAAAAGUGAAAGACGGUCUUGCUGUCACUUAUAGAUGGAUCCGCGCUGCAUUAGCUAGUUGGUAAGGUAACGGCUUACCAAGGCAACGAUGCAUAGCCGACCUGAGAGGGUGAUCGGUCACACUGGAACUGAGACACGGUCCAGACUCCUACGGGAGGCAGCAGUAGGGAAUCUUCCGCAAUGGGCGAAAGCCUGACGGAGCAACGCCGCGUGAGUGAUGAAGGUCUUCGGAUCGUAAAACUCUGUUAUUAGGGAAGAACAUAUGUGUAAGUAACUGUGCACAUCUUGACGGUACCUAAUCAGAAAGCCACGGCUAACUACGUG
RNAcentral lists this ribosomal RNA (497 nucleotides) under uncultured bacterium. Its description in RNAcentral is "partial 16S ribosomal RNA". It matches the Rfam family "Bacterial small subunit ribosomal RNA", at positions 28 to 507 of the family's 1533-position model. The record is from RNAcentral.